RNAcentral lists this ribosomal RNA (425 nucleotides) under uncultured bacterium. RNAcentral's name for it is "partial 16S ribosomal RNA". It matches the Rfam family "Bacterial small subunit ribosomal RNA", at positions 354 to 796 of the family's 1533-position model. The record is from RNAcentral.
GUGGGGAAUCUUAGACAAUGGGGGCAACCCUGAUCUAGCCAUGCCGCGUGAGUGAUGAAGGCCUUAGGGUUGUAAAGCUCUUUUGUCCGGGAAGAUAAUGACUGUACCGGAAGAAUAAGCCCCGGCUAACUUCGUGCCAGCAGCCGCGGUAAUACGAAGGGGGCUAGCGUUGUUCGGAAUCACUGGGCGUAAAGCGCACGUAGGCGGACCAUUAAGUCAGGGGUGAAAGCCUGGAGCUCAACUCCAGAACUGCCUUUGAUACUGAUGGUCUCGAGUAUGGAAGAGGUUGGUGGAACUGCGAGUGUAGAGGUGAAAUUCGUAGAUAUUCGCAAGAACACCGGUGGCGAAGGCGGCCAACUGGUCCAUUACUGACGCUGAGGUGCGAAAGCGUGGGGAGCAAACAGGAUUAGAAACCCGAGUAGUCC